UACGGAGGGGGUUAGCGUUGUUCGGAAUGACUGGGCGUAAAGCGCGCGUAGGCGGGCGGUCAAGUCGGGGGUGAAAUCCCGGGGCUCAACCCCGGAAUGGCCUUCGAUACUGGCGGCCUAGAGUUCGAGAGAGGUGAGUGGAAUUCCGAGUGUAGAGGUGAAAUUCGUAGAUAUUCGGAGGAACACCAGUGGCGAAGGCGGCUCACUGGCUCGACACUGACGCUGAGGUGCGAAAGCGUGGGGAGCAAACAGGAUUAGAAACCCCCGUAGUCC
Molecule: ribosomal RNA, 273 nt
Filed under: uncultured bacterium
Lineage: Bacteria
Description: partial 16S ribosomal RNA
Rfam family: Bacterial small subunit ribosomal RNA
Source: RNAcentral